This is a non-coding RNA of Pelobates cultripes (western spadefoot toad), 344 nucleotides long. The record is from the annotation of a GenBank genome assembly. Lineage: Eukaryota; Metazoa; Chordata; Amphibia; Anura; Pelobatidae.
AGUUUACACAGGAACAGCGGUCGUGCGAGAUGUGGUCGUGAAUGGUCUCUCCUCUCCCUCCCUCCCGCCUUCCCCGGUAUGCAUGGUCUCUCCGUAUGAAUGUCUCGCUGCUCCUGUGCUUUCCCAUUACACACUGAUCUUAUUUGAUCUCCCCUGCGUGUCGCAGCCUACACCAGGGGCGAGAUGAUGAAACCACUCUGGCUAAGCCCCCAGUGGGUUGUGUGCGCUGAGCUUAGGUCUGUAGGCUGCUGCACCCGACAUGAUGAAUUGAUCAGAUAUACUAGACCGGGAGGCUCUCACGGGGACCUCUUCUGUCUGUGAGUAUAAAGGCGAUUCUGAUCGGA